UACGGGGGGAGCAAGCGUUGUUCGGAUUUACUGGGCGUAAAGGGCGCGUAGGCGGCCACCGCAAGUCGAUUGUGAAAUCUCCGGGCUUAACCCGGAAAGGUCAACCGAUACUGCGGGGCUAGAGUGCGGAAGGGGCAACUGGAAUUCUUGGUGUAGCGGUGAAAUGCGUAGAUAUCAAGAGGAACACCUGCGGCGAAGGCGGGUUGCUGGGCCGACACUGACGCUGAUGCGCGAAAGCUAGGGGA
This 245-nucleotide ribosomal RNA is filed under the name uncultured bacterium. Its description in RNAcentral is "partial 16S ribosomal RNA". It matches the Rfam family "Bacterial small subunit ribosomal RNA", at positions 524 to 767 of the family's 1533-position model. The record is from RNAcentral.